Molecule: ribosomal RNA, 492 nt
Filed under: uncultured bacterium
Lineage: Bacteria
Description: partial 16S ribosomal RNA
Rfam family: Bacterial small subunit ribosomal RNA
Source: RNAcentral
AGUGAACGCUGGCGGUAGGCCUAACACAUGCAAGUCGAACGGCAGCACAGUAAGAGCUUGCUCUUACGGGUGGCGAGUGGCGGACGGGUGAGGAAUACAUCGGAAUCUACUUUUUCGUGGGGGAUAACGUAGGGAAACUUACGCUAAUACCGCAUACGACCUACGGGUGAAAGCAGGGGAUCUUCGGACCUUGCGCGAUUGAAUGAGCCGAUAUCGGAUUAGCUAGUUGGCGGGGUAAAGGCCCACCAAGGCGACGAUCCGUAGCUGGUCUGAGAGGAUGAUCAGCCACGCUGGAACUGAGACACGGUCCAGACUCCUACGGGAGGCAGCAGUGGGGAAUAUUGGACAAUGGGCGCAAGCCUGAUCCAGCCAUACCGCGUGGGUGAAGAAGGCCUUCGGGUUGUAAAGCCCUUUUGUUGGGAAAGAAAAGCAGCAGGUUAAUACCCCGCUGUUCUGACGGUACCCAAAGAAUAAGCACCGGCUAACUUCGUG